Molecule: ribosomal RNA, 162 nt
Filed under: Juglans regia (Persian walnut)
Lineage: Eukaryota; Viridiplantae; Streptophyta; Magnoliopsida; Fagales; Juglandaceae
Description: 5.8S ribosomal RNA
Rfam family: 5.8S ribosomal RNA
About the family: 5.8S ribosomal RNA (5.8S rRNA) is a component of the large subunit of the eukaryotic ribosome. It is transcribed by RNA polymerase I as part of the 45S precursor that also contains 18S and 28S rRNA.
Source: RNAcentral
UAACGACUCUCGGCAACGGAUAUCUCGGCUCUCGCAUCGAUGAAGAACGUAUCGAAAUGCGAUACUUGGUGUGAAUUGCAGAAUCCCGCGAAUCAUCGAGUCUUUGAACGCAAGUUGCGCCCGAAGCCAUUCGGCCGAGGGCACGUCUGCCUGGGUGUCACG